UACGUAGGAUGCAAGCGUUGUCCGGAAUUAUUGGGCGUAAAGAGCGCGCAGGCGGUAUGACAAGUCAGAUGUGAAAGAGGCCAGCUUAACCGGCAAGGGUCAUUUGAAACUGUCAGACUAGAGUGCAGCAGAGGAUAGUGGAAUUCCCGGUGUAGUGGUGAAAUGCGUAGAUAUCGGGAGGAACACCAGUGGCGAAGGCGACUAUCUGGGCUGCAACUGACGCUGAGGCGCGAAGGCUAGGGUAGCAAACAGG
Molecule: ribosomal RNA, 253 nt
Filed under: uncultured bacterium
Lineage: Bacteria
Description: partial 16S ribosomal RNA
Rfam family: Bacterial small subunit ribosomal RNA
Source: RNAcentral